UGGCGAAAUUGUGGACAUCACAGGAGCAACCACAGCCAUCACAGCAGCAGCCAUCAGUGCAGCCACCAUCACAGCCACCACCACAGCCAUCAACAUUGCCACAGGCACAGGUGUGGCCAGGGCCACAGCCACCACAACCACAGCCACCACCUCAGCCAACACAACCAAGUGCUCAAGCCCGUUGUACUCAGCACACCUCCAAAUGCAAUCUCCAGGAUUCCCAAAGGCCAGGUCACCAGCCUACUUCAGCGGGGAUCUACUAAGCUGGAGGGCAAUCUCUGUAUCAACAACAGAUUCCAGGGUGGGCAGAAAAUCCUUACAGACUCUGGACUGGAGCCUGGGAGUGGGAGGUGAUAUACUGAGCCCCGUGAGGUCUGGAACAGGGAACCACAGCACAGCUUCCUAGUUGAGAAUCUUCAGGAAGGGCUCAGUCUGUGCCCUGUCCCAGGUCUCAUGAACCCAUGCCAAUCUAGCCCCAUCAGAAACACUGGGUAUUCACAACUCAAGUCUACCAAUUACAUACAGCAGUGGUGAUCCAGAGAUUGAACCCAGGACCCCAUGGCCAUCCCCAAAAUGCAGAUGAGCAACCACAUCUUCUCAGCAUCCAGCAAUAUCUCCACUCCAAAAGCCACCCACUCUAGAAGAGGAGGCUGCCAGGAAUAAAAUGUAAUUUUUU
Molecule: long non-coding RNA, 676 nt
Filed under: Homo sapiens (human)
Lineage: Eukaryota; Metazoa; Chordata; Mammalia; Primates; Hominidae
Description: non-protein coding lnc-LINC00854-1:33
Source: RNAcentral